This 377-nucleotide ribosomal RNA is filed under the name Cryptosporidium galli. RNAcentral's name for it is "bacterial SSU rRNA". It matches the Rfam family "Eukaryotic small subunit ribosomal RNA", at positions 520 to 939 of the family's 1831-position model. Lineage: Eukaryota; Apicomplexa; Conoidasida; Eucoccidiorida; Cryptosporidiidae. The record is from RNAcentral.
GUAAAGUAUAAACCCCUUUACSAGUAUCAAUUGGAGGGCAAGUCUGGUGCCAGCAGCCGCGGUAAUUCCAGCUCCAAUAGCGUAUAUUAAAGUUGUUGCAGUUAAAAAGCUCGUAGUUGGAUUUCUGUUGCAUCAUUAUAUUAUCACUAAGGUAAUAAUAUAAUAUCAACAUCCUCCCUNNUUAUAUCUAAUAUAGAGGGAAUUUUACUUUGAGAAAAUUAGAGUGCUUAAAGCAGGCAACUGCCUUGAAUACUCCAGCAUGGAAUAAUAAGCAAGGACUUUUGUCUUUCUUAUUGGUUCUAGGACAAAAGUAAUGGUUAAUAGGGACAGUUGGGGGCAUUCGUAUUUAACAGUUAGAGGUGAAAUUCUUAGAUUUG